CUGAUGCGUUGUUGGGUAGGGGAGCGUUCUGUAAGCCUGCGAAGGUGGCCUGUGAGGGUUGCUGGAGGUAUCAGAAGUGCGAAUGCUGACAUAAGUAACGAUAAAGCGGGUGAAAAGCCCGCUCGCCGGAAGACCAAGGGUUCCUGUCCAACGUUAAUCGGGGCAGGGUGAGUCGACCCCUAAGGCGAGGCCGAAAGGCGUAGUCGAUGGGAAACGGGUUAAUAUUCCCGUACUUGGUGUUACUGCGAAGGGGGGACGGAGAAGGCUAUGUUGGCCGGGCGACGGUUGUCCCGGUUUAAGCGUGUAGGUGUGUGUUCCAGGUAAAUCCGGUUCACUUUAACACUGAGGCGUGACGACGAGGCACUACGGUGCUGAAGCAACAAAUGCCCUGCUUCCAGGAAAAGCCUCUAAGCAUCAGGUAACAUCAAAUCGUACCCCAAACCGACACAGGUGGUCAGGUAGAGAAUACCAAGGCGCUUGAGAGAACUCGGGUGAAGGAACUAGGCAAAAUGGUGCCGUAACUUCGGGAGAAGGCACGCUGACACGUAGGUGAAGUGAUUUACUCAUGGAGCUGAAGUCAGUCGAAGAUACCAGCUGGCUGCAACUGUUUAUUAAAAACACAGCACUGUGCAAACACGAAAGUGGACGUAUACGGUGUGACGCCUGCCCGGUGCCGGAAGGUUAAUUGAUGGGGUCAGCGCAAGCGAAGCUCCUGAUCGAAGCCCCGGUAAACGGCGGCCGUAACUAUAACGGUCCUAAGGUAGCGAAAUUCCUUGUCGGGUAAGUUCCGACCUGCACGAAUGGCGUAAUGAUGGCCAGGCUGUCUCCACCCGAGACUCAGUGAAAUUGAACUCGCUGUGAAGAUGCAGUGUACCCGCGGCAAGACGGAAAGACCCCGUGAACCUUUACUAUAGCUUGACACUGAACAUUGAGCCUUGAUGUGUAGGAUAGGUGGGAGGCUUUGAAGUGUGGACGCCAGUCUGCAUGGAGCCGACCUUGAAAUACCACCCUUUAAUGUUUGAUGUUCUAACGUGGACCCGUGAUCCGGGUUGCGGACAGUGUCUGGUGGGUAGUUUGACUGGGGCGGUCUCCUCCUAAAGAGUAACGGAGGAGCACGAAGGUUGGCUAAUCCUGGUCGGACAUCAGGAGGUUAGUGCAAUGGCAUAAGCCAGCUUGACUGCGAGCGUGACGGCGCGAGCAGGUGCGAAAGCAGGUCAUAGUGAUCCGGUGGUUCUGAAUGGAAGGGCCAUCGCUCAACGGAUAAAAGGUACUCCGGGGAUAACAGGCUGAUACCGCCCAAGAGUUCAUAUCGACGGCGGUGUUUGGCACCUCGAUGUCGGCUCAUCACAUCCUGGGGCUGAAGUAGGUCCCAAGGGUAUGGCUGUUCGCCAUUUAAAGUGGUACGCGAGCUGGGUUUAGAACGUCGUGAGACAGUUCGGUCCCUAUCUGCCGUGGGCGCUGGAGAACUGAGGGGGGCUGCUCCUAGUACGAGAGGACCGGAGUGGACGCAUCACUGGUGUUCGGGUUGUCAUGCCAAUGGCACUGCCCGGUAGCUAAAUGCGGAAGAGAUAAGUGCUGAAAGCAUCUAAGCACGAAACUUGCCCCGAG
This 1608-nucleotide ribosomal RNA is filed under the name Salmonella enterica. Its description in RNAcentral is "partial 23S ribosomal RNA". It matches the Rfam family "Bacterial large subunit ribosomal RNA", at positions 1213 to 2803 of the family's 2925-position model. Lineage: Bacteria; Pseudomonadati; Pseudomonadota; Gammaproteobacteria; Enterobacterales; Enterobacteriaceae. The record is from RNAcentral.